Molecule: ribosomal RNA, 431 nt
Filed under: uncultured bacterium
Lineage: Bacteria
Description: partial 16S ribosomal RNA
Rfam family: Bacterial small subunit ribosomal RNA
Source: RNAcentral
AACGAACGCUGGCGGCAGGCCUAACACAUGCAAGUCGAGCGCCCUUUCGGGGGAGCGGCGGACGGGUGAGUAACGCGUGGGAAUAUGCCCUUCUCUACGGAAUAGCCUCGGGAAACUGAGAGUAAUACCGUAUACGCCCUGUGGGGGAAAGAUUUAUCGGGGAAGGAUUAGCCCGCGUUGGAUUAGGUAGUUGGUGGGGUAAUGGCCUACCAAGCCGACGAUCCAUAGCUGGUUUGAGAGGAUGAUCAGCCACACUGGGACUGAGACACGGCCCAGACUCCUACGGGAGGCAGCAGUGGGGAAUCUUAGACAAUGGGGGCAACCCUGAUCUAGCCAUGCCGCGUGAGUGAUGAGGGCCUUAGGGUUGUAAAGCUCUUUCAGCUGGGAAGAUAAUGACGGUACCAGCAGAAGAAGCCCCGGCUAACUCCGUG